GGAUUGUGGCUCAGCGGUAGAGCACUCCCCUAGCAAGAGCGGGGCCCGGGUUCGAUCCUCAGCACCA
RNAcentral lists this transfer RNA (67 nucleotides) under Marmota monax (woodchuck). Its description in RNAcentral is "tRNA.Ala". The record is from RNAcentral. Lineage: Eukaryota; Metazoa; Chordata; Mammalia; Rodentia; Sciuridae.